GGCACAAACUUGAAUUAGAAUAGUUGGGUAUGGUCAGAUGAACCUAUUGACCUACCCUACUUCAAGUUUGUGCUC
This 75-nucleotide microRNA precursor is filed under the name Haemonchus placei. RNAcentral's name for it is "mir-5928 microRNA precursor family". It matches the Rfam family "mir-5928 microRNA precursor family". Lineage: Eukaryota; Metazoa; Nematoda; Chromadorea; Rhabditida; Trichostrongylidae. The record is from Rfam by way of RNAcentral.